Dendronephthya gigantea is the source of this 1132-nucleotide long non-coding RNA. RefSeq lists it as uncharacterized. NCBI's taxonomy places the organism in Eukaryota, Metazoa, Cnidaria, Anthozoa, Malacalcyonacea, Nephtheidae. The record is from RefSeq and is a predicted model, not a curated record. The transcript is spliced from 11 exons.
UUUAAGUUCUUUGAGUACUGUAUACUACGAGUUGCAUGAGCAGAAGUUAAAAUUAUUUUGCGACAGACGUGAUGUUGGCUCAUUAAUGCAUUGGGAGGGCACUGAAACUUUGGAUCUUUGGAUCCUUAGGUUAUAUAACUCUGAACCCUUAUAUCUUGAAAGGGUGUAAUCUCGCACCUACGCACCUAAUGCACCUGUAAAUAGUCUGCCUAUCAAAAUUCUUGAGAGAUUCUGUUUUAAAAAACACGAUAAAGUUUUAAGUGCGAUAGAGUCCCUCCCUCAUUGCUGCUACUGUGCUUUAGAUGACUUUUAAAUACAAAAUGCAAGCAUAUUCUUAUUUUGGCUAUAUGACAAGCCAAGUACGUGGCCAUGCAAGUUUCUGACAUGGACAUAUUUGUUUUUCCUAUGGAUAAUAUAAUCACUUAACACAAUUCUCUGUUUCUUAGACUGACUGUUUCACAGCACAUUCGUAUACUUUUACAGCAAAUCAUUUUGACUGACUGUUUCACAGCACAUUCGUAUACUUUUACAGCAAAUCAUUUUGACUGACUGUUUCACAGCACAUUCGUAUACUUUACAGCAGAUUAUUUUGACUGACUGUUUCACAGCACAUUCGUAUACUUUUCCAGCAAAUCAUUUUGACUGACUGUUUCACAGCACAUUCGUAUACUUUUACAGCAAAUCAUUUUGACUGACUGUUUCACAGCACAUUCGUGUACUUUUCCAGCAAAUCAUUUUGACUGACUGUUUCACAGCACAUUCGUAUACUUUUCCAGCAAAUCAUUUUGACUGACUGUUUCACAGCACAUUCGUAUACUUUUACAGCAAAUCAUUUGCAAAUCAUUUUGACUGACUGUUUCACAGCACAUUCGUAUACUUUUACAGCAAAUCAUUUUGGAUGGAACAUGUGAGAAAUCCUUUUGACCUUUGUUACAUUAACCCAUUUAAAAGAUCACUAUUAAGCAAACUUUGACUGAGAGUUUUUAAAUGAUGCAUGUGGUAAGUUUAUUACAAUUUUUGUUAACAUUUAACAAAAUCUACUCUGUCACUGUUACACUAUGCAAUUUUCUUGCAACUCUUUGUGCAAUUAUAAUUUUGAGGCAUGUUGAUUUGUAACCAGUGUUCGAAAGUU